RNAcentral lists this ribosomal RNA (1916 nucleotides) under uncultured Burkholderiales bacterium. RNAcentral describes it as "bacterial LSU rRNA". It matches the Rfam family "Bacterial large subunit ribosomal RNA", at positions 615 to 2534 of the family's 2925-position model. Lineage: Bacteria; Pseudomonadati; Pseudomonadota; Betaproteobacteria; Burkholderiales. The record is from RNAcentral.
AUGGGUCAGCGACUUACGUUUAAUGGCGAGCUUAACCGUAUAGGGGAGGCGCAGCGAAAGCGAGUUCGAACAGAGCGUUCAGUCGUUAGGCGUAGACCCGAAACCAGAUGAUCUAUCCAUGGCCAGGUUGAAGGUGUGGUAACACACACUGGAGGACCGAACCGACUAGUGUUGCAAAAUUAGCGGAUGAGCUGUGGAUAGGGGUGAAAGGCUAAACAAAUCUGGAGAUAGCUGGUUCUCCCCGAAAACUAUUGAGGUAGUGCCUCGUGUAUGACUCCAGGGGGUAGAGCACUGUUAUGGCUAGGGGGACAUGGCGUCUUACCAAACCAUGGCAAACUCCGAAUACUUGGAAGUUUGAGCACGGGAGACAGAGCACCGGGUGCUAACGUCCGGACUCAAGAGGGAAACAACCCAGACCGCCGGCUAAGGUCCCUAAUAUUGACUAAGUGGAAAACGAAGUGGAAAGGCUAAGACAGUCAGGAAGUUGGCUUAGAAGCAGCCAUCCUUCAAAGAAAGCGUAAUAGCUCACUGAUCGAGUCUUUCUGCGCGGAAGAUGUAACGGGGCUAAGUCAAUAACCGAAGCCGCGGAUUCACACUUAUGUGUGAGUGGUAGGGGAGCGUUCUGUAAGCCUGCGAAGGUGACUCGUAAGGGUUGCUGGAGGUAUCAGAAGUGCGAAUGCUGACAUGAGUAACGCUAAAGCGGGUGAAAAGCCCGCUCGCCGUAAGCCCAAGGUUUCCUGCUCUACGUUCAUCGGAGCAGGGUGAGUCGGCCCCUAAGGUGAGGCUGAGAAGCGUAACUGAUGGGAACAAGGUUAAUAUUCCUUGACCACCGCUGAAUGCGAAGGGGGGACGGAGUAUUGAAGAUCAUCCGGGUGUUGGAUAUCCCGGUUUGCGAGCGUAGGAGGCUGACAGGCAAAUCCGUCAGCGAAUCUCCGAGGCAAAGCAUCGAGCUCUCUUUUGAGCGAAGUGAUUGGAUGUGCUUCCAGGAAAAGCCUCUAAGCUCCAGUUCAGCGGGACCGUACCGCAAACCGACACUGGUGGGCGAGCUGAAUAUGCUCAGGCGCUUGAGAGAACUCAGGAGAAGGAACUCGGCAAAUUGACACCGUAACUUCGGGAUAAGGUGUGCCUUUGUAGCGUGGAGGGAGAAACACUCCGAGCGCGAAGAGGUCUCAGAUAAUCGGUGGCUGCGACUGUUUAUUAAAAACACAGCACUCUGCAAAGACGAAAGUCGACGUAUAGGGUGUGAUGCCUGCCCGGUGCUGGAAGAUUAAUUGAUGGGGUGCAAGCUCCUGAUCGAAGUCCCAGUAAACGGCGGCCGUAACUAUAACGGUCCUAAGGUAGCGAAAUUCCUUGUCGGGCAAGUUCCGACCUGCACGAAUGGCAUAACGAUGGCCACACUGUCUCCUCCUGAGACUCAGUGAAGUUGAAGUGUUUGUGAUGAUGCAAUCUCCCCGCGGCUAGACGGAAAGACCCCAUGAACCUUUACUGUAGCUUUGCAUUGGACUUUGAACCGAUCUGUGUAGGAUAGGCGGGAGCCUGUGAAACCACAACGCCAGUUGUGGCGGAGGCGUCCUUGAAAUACCGCCCUGAUUUGUUUGAGGUUCUAACCUGGGACAGUCAUCCUGUCCGGGGACCGUGCAUGGUAGGCAGUUUGACUGGGGCGGUCUCCUCCUAAAGGGUAACGGAGGAGUGCGAAGGUACGCUAGGUACGGUCGGAAAUCGUGCUGAUAGUGCAAUGGCAAAAGCGUGCUUGACUGCGAGACCCACAAGUCGAGCAGAUACGAAAGUAGGUCAUAGUGAUCCGGUGGCUCUGUAUGGAAGGGCCAUCGCUCAACGGAUAAAAGGUACUCUGGGGAUAACAGGCUGAUACCGCCCAAGAGUUCAUAUCGACGGCGGUGUUUGGCACCUCGAUGUCG